CGUCACACCAUGAGAGUUGGAAAUACCCGAAGCCUGUGAGCUGACCUUUGGGGGCAGCAGUCGAAGGUAGAGCCAAUGAUUGGGGUGAAGUCGUAACAAGGUAAC
Molecule: ribosomal RNA, 105 nt
Filed under: uncultured bacterium
Lineage: Bacteria
Description: partial 16S ribosomal RNA
Rfam family: Bacterial small subunit ribosomal RNA
Source: RNAcentral